Molecule: ribosomal RNA, 57 nt
Filed under: Colletotrichum fructicola
Lineage: Eukaryota; Fungi; Ascomycota; Sordariomycetes; Glomerellales; Glomerellaceae
Also listed under: 4 other names
Description: partial 18S ribosomal RNA
Rfam family: Eukaryotic small subunit ribosomal RNA
Source: RNAcentral
GGAAGUAAAAGUCGUAACAAGGUCUCCGUUGGUGAACCAGCGGAGGGAUCAUUACUG